ACUCCUACGGGAGGCAGCAGUGGGGAAUUUUGCACAAUGGGGGAAACCCUGACGCAGCAACGCCGCGUGGAGGAUGAAGUCCCUUGGGAAGUAAACUCCUUCGAU
This 105-nucleotide ribosomal RNA is filed under the name uncultured bacterium. RNAcentral's name for it is "partial 16S small subunit ribosomal RNA". It matches the Rfam family "Bacterial small subunit ribosomal RNA", at positions 335 to 439 of the family's 1533-position model. The record is from RNAcentral.